Molecule: ribosomal RNA, 253 nt
Filed under: uncultured bacterium
Lineage: Bacteria
Description: partial 16S ribosomal RNA
Rfam family: Bacterial small subunit ribosomal RNA
Source: RNAcentral
GACGGAGGACGCAAGCGUUGUUCGGAAUCACUGGGCAUAAAGAGCACGUAGGCGGUCCGCUAAGUCGAAUGUGAAAGCCCCCGGCUCAACCGGGGAACAGCAUCCGAUACUGGCGGGCUGGAGGAAGGCAGGGGUGAGUGGAACUCCAGGUGGAACGGUGAAAUGUGUAGAUAUCUGGAGGAACACAGGUGGCGAAAGCGGCUCACUGGGCCUUUCCUGACGCUGAGGUGCGAAAGCUAGGGUAGCAAACGGG